This is a non-coding RNA of Naganishia cerealis, 89 nucleotides long. Lineage: Eukaryota; Fungi; Basidiomycota; Tremellomycetes; Filobasidiales; Filobasidiaceae. The record is from the annotation of a GenBank genome assembly.
CUCCCGAUAGCUCAGUUGGAAGAGCGCGGCAUUGUAAUCACUUAAGUUUGGGACUGCCGCGGUCACCUGUUCGAACCAGGUUCGGGAGA